CUUAGCUGCAAAAGAAACAGAUGCAACAGGUUGCACUUCCACAGGAGAUAGUCACAAAGCAACCUCAUGACUUAAAACAUGCAAGGUUCUUUCCUUAUUCCACCUGACACUGACAACACAUAUCCCUUUAUCUACUCAGACCCAUGAAUAUUCCUUGAGGAAGAAAAGUAACAGAGAAGAAGAAACAUACUGAUUGAUACCUCACUAACCUGGAAAAGAACACUGGAUACUCACUCUGUUUAUAUGAAAGUGAAAUACAGAAUAAAACCCGAGAACCAAAUUUCUUUUAUUUUUUUUCCGAGACGGAGCCUCGCCCUGUCGCCCAGGUUGGAGUGCAAUGGUGCAAUCUCGGCUCACUGCAACCUCCACCUCCCAGGUUCAAGCGAUUCUCCCGCUUCAGCCUCCCGAGUAGCUGGGACUACAGGCGCGUGGCAAGAACCAAAUUUCUUUUGAACCUAAUAGUUUCCUUCCUGAUAUCCAGCUGCUGAGAGCUCAGUAAGAGAGGAAAGGACAUUUCCUGGCAAACAUGCAAACAAACACUACAGAAGAUCAUCAGGAGGUGAUCUAUUUUAAAUCACCUCGGACAGCAACAAUGAUAACUUAUUCCAAACACUUCAGGUUACUUUUCUUACUUCUCUGUGCAUAACCAACUUCCUAUCCCAGAACAUUUGCAAUAUU
This 678-nucleotide long non-coding RNA is filed under the name Homo sapiens (human). RNAcentral's name for it is "HSALNT0219161". Lineage: Eukaryota; Metazoa; Chordata; Mammalia; Primates; Hominidae. The record is from RNAcentral.